This is a long non-coding RNA of Homo sapiens (human), 857 nucleotides long. Ensembl annotates it as family with sequence similarity 230 member C. Its record names the gene FAM230C. NCBI's taxonomy places the organism in Eukaryota, Metazoa, Chordata, Mammalia, Primates, Hominidae. The record is from Ensembl.
GUCUGUGAUGAGUUUUUCAAAGGUCAGAGCAGAUUGAACCUUUGUGGUUUCAUUUUCCCUGAUUUUGAUUUUUCUUAUGGGGAACCUGUGUUGCUGCAUUCAAGGCCUGUAAUCCCAGCUCUUUGGGAGGCCAUGGCAAGAGGAUCACAAGGUGACUCGAAGAAUUCUUCCAAAAAGCGUGUGAAAAGGGAGCCCUACUCUACUACCAAGGUAAAGCAGCCUGUCUUUGCCUAAGAUAAUACAAGAAGAUAUGCUGUGCACACCAACCAGUGUCGGAGACCUCAUGGCUCCCCGGUAAAGAAGAAGAUGUACCCACAAGAAGAUGACUUCCAUCAUACAAUCUUCAGCAACCUUGAAAGAUUGGACAAGCUUCAGCCCACUCUUGAAGGUAAAGGAAGUCUCUAGUUCACAAGGACAGAGGAGAUGGAGAGAGGCCAGUCAACGUGAGGGUGGUGCAGGUGGCCCCUCUGAGGCGUGAAUCUAGUAAGUAUUCUGGAAUCACUUGCCAAGAAAACAAUCUGGAUGCCAAGAAAGGUGUGGCAUCCUUGCCUGGUUUCAAUGUGAAGAGCCACCCUGAUCCUGGGAUUGUGAUAGGAAUAAGUAUAGGGGAAGUGUUUUUUUAAAACCUGAAUUCCCCAGGGAAAAAUUAUGGCCAAAUUUUGAGGAAGCAGCUGUGCUCCCUUUUGGGUGGUGCUGAGUUGGGUGCUUGAGGAUUGGUGGUGUCUUGUUUGAGGCUGCAUCGUGUGGUGUGAAUGUGUGUGUUUCUGUACAGGUGAGGCUGUGUGUUUUCUCAGGAGAGAUUUCCCACUUAUACAACCCAAUCACCAGUGUCCACUUCUAACAAUAAAAUCCACCCC